GCCGGGAUGGCGGAACUGGCAGACGCGCAUGGUUGAGGGCCAUGUGAGGCGACUCAUCCGGGUUCAAGUCCCGGUCCCGGCACCA
RNAcentral lists this transfer RNA (85 nucleotides) under bacterium. RNAcentral's name for it is "tRNA-Leu". It matches the Rfam family "tRNA". Rfam says of the family: Transfer RNA (tRNA) molecules are approximately 80 nucleotides in length. The record is from RNAcentral.